UACGUAGGUGGCGAGCGUUGUCCGGAUUUACUGGGCGUAAAGAGCGCGCAGGCGGCUGGUCAAGUCCGAUGUGAAAGCUCCCGGCUUAACUGGGAAAUUGCAUCGGAAACUGAUCGGCUGGAAGGUGGGAGAGGGUAGCGGAAUUCCCGGUGUAGUGGUGAAAUGCGUAGAUAUCGGGAGGAACACCAGUGGCGAAAGCGGCUACCUGGUCCGAUACUGACGCUGAGGCGCGAAAGCCAGGGGAGCAAACGGG
RNAcentral lists this ribosomal RNA (253 nucleotides) under uncultured bacterium. RNAcentral describes it as "partial 16S ribosomal RNA". It matches the Rfam family "Bacterial small subunit ribosomal RNA", at positions 524 to 776 of the family's 1533-position model. The record is from RNAcentral.